AAGUCGUAACAAGGUUUCCGUAGGUGAACCUGCGGAAGGAUCAUUAACACGUAUCCAAACGUUAAACCCCCCUGUGAACCUUCAGUGUACUCGUACGUCCGUUAGAAAAAGCAGCAAUCCCUGGUAAAUCAUCGCCGAACAGUUUUCGAUUCAGGGACGUCUGCGAGCAAGUGGCCUGGCAUCCCCAAGCAGUUAGUGUCUGAAAGUGUCAUUAACUGUGUAAGGAUGACGCAGUCACGAUCGUUGGAGGCCCACACGGCCGACGACCGGGUCACUGGGCGCAAGCCCCCCUAUAACAAACGCUGCUAAGCGCGGCCGCGAUAAUACGCAGUCGACCAAAAACCGAACAACUGUUAACAAUGGAUAUCUUGGUUCUC
RNAcentral lists this unclassified non-coding RNA (377 nucleotides) under fungal sp. Its description in RNAcentral is "partial internal transcribed spacer region". The stretch from base 1 to 46 matches the Rfam family "Eukaryotic small subunit ribosomal RNA", at positions 1786 to 1831 of the family's 1831-position model. Lineage: Eukaryota; Fungi. The record is from RNAcentral.